Molecule: ribosomal RNA, 1576 nt
Filed under: Lactiplantibacillus plantarum
Lineage: Bacteria; Bacillati; Bacillota; Bacilli; Lactobacillales; Lactobacillaceae
Description: Lactobacillus plantarum 16S ribosomal RNA
Rfam family: Bacterial small subunit ribosomal RNA
Source: RNAcentral
UUAAUUUGAGAGUUUGAUCCUGGCUCAGGACGAACGCUGGCGGCGUGCCUAAUACAUGCAAGUCGAACGAACUCUGGUAUUGAUUGGUGCUUGCAUCAUGAUUUACAUUUGAGUGAGUGGCGAACUGGUGAGUAACACGUGGGAAACCUGCCCAGAAGCGGGGGAUAACACCUGGAAACAGAUGCUAAUACCGCAUAACAACUUGGACCGCAUGGUCCGAGUUUGAAAGAUGGCUUCGGCUAUCACUUUUGGAUGGUCCCGCGGCGUAUUAGCUAGAUGGUGGGGUAACGGCUUACCAUGGCAAUGAUACGUAGCCGACCUGAGAGGGUAAUCGGCCACAUUGGGACUGAGACACGGCCCAAACUCCUACGGGAGGCAGCAGUAGGGAAUCUUCCACAAUGGACGAAAGUCUGAUGGAGCAACGCCGCGUGAGUGAAGAAGGGUUUCGGCUCGUAAAACUCUGUUGUUAAAGAAGAACAUAUCUGAGAGUAACUGUUCAGGUAUUGACGGUAUUUAACCAGAAAGCCACGGCUAACUACGUGCCAGCAGCCGCGGUAAUACGUAGGUGGCAAGCGUUGUCCGGAUUUAUUGGGCGUAAAGCGAGCGCAGGCGGUUUUUUAAGUCUGAUGUGAAAGCCUUCGGCUCAACCGAAGAAGUGCAUCGGAAACUGGGAAACUUGAGUGCAGAAGAGGACAGUGGAACUCCAUGUGUAGCGGUGAAAUGCGUAGAUAUAUGGAAGAACACCAGUGGCGAAGGCGGCUGUCUGGUCUGUAACUGACGCUGAGGCUCGAAAGUAUGGGUAGCAAACAGGAUUAGAUACCCUGGUAGUCCAUACCGUAAACGAUGAAUGCUAAGUGUUGGAGGGUUUCCGCCCUUCAGUGCUGCAGCUAACGCAUUAAGCAUUCCGCCUGGGGAGUACGGCCGCAAGGCUGAAACUCAAAGGAAUUGACGGGGGCCCACACAAGCGGUGGAGCAUGUGGUUUAAUUCGAAGCUACGCGAAGAACCUUACCAGGUCUUGACAUACUAUGCAAAUCUAAGAGAUUAGACGUUCCCUUCGGGGACAUGGAUACAGGUGGUGCAUGGUUGUCGUCAGCUCGUGUCGUGAGAUGUUGGGUUAAGUCCCGCAACGAGCGCAACCCUUAUUAUCAGUUGCCAGCAUUAAGUUGGGCACUCUGGUGAGACUGCCGGUGACAAACCGGAGGAAGGUGGGGAUGACGUCAAAUCAUCAUGCCCCUUAUGACCUGGGCUACACACGUGCUACAAUGGAUGGUACAACGAGUUGCGAACUCGCGAGAGUAAGCUAAUCUCUUAAAGCCAUUCUCAGUUCGGAUUGUAGGCUGCAACUCGCCUACAUGAAGUCGGAAUCGCUAGUAAUCGCGGAUCAGCAUGCCGCGGUGAAUACGUUCCCGGGCCUUGUACACACCGCCCGUCACACCAUGAGAGUUUGUAACACCCAAAGUCGGUGGGGUAACCUUUUAGGAACCAGCCGCCUAAGGUGGGACAGAUGAUUAGGGUGAAGUCGUAACAAGGUAGCCGUAGGAGAACCUGCGGCUGGAUCACCUCCUUUCUAAGGAA